Molecule: ribosomal RNA, 253 nt
Filed under: uncultured bacterium
Lineage: Bacteria
Description: partial 16S ribosomal RNA
Rfam family: Bacterial small subunit ribosomal RNA
Source: RNAcentral
UACAGAGGGUGCGAGCGUUAAUCGGAAUUACUGGGCGUAAAGCGCGCGUAGGCGGCUUUGCAAGUCGGGUGUGAAAUCCCCAGGCUUAACCUGGGAACUGCAUUCGAGACUGCAUUGCUAGAGUAUGGGAGAGGGAAGUGGAAUUUCCGGUGUAGCGGUGAAAUGCGUAGAUAUCGGGAGGAACACCUGUGGCGAAAGCGGCUCACUGGACCACAACUGACGCUGAGGCGCGAAAGCUAGGGGAGCAAACAGG